Molecule: ribosomal RNA, 468 nt
Filed under: uncultured bacterium
Lineage: Bacteria
Description: partial 16S ribosomal RNA
Rfam family: Bacterial small subunit ribosomal RNA
Source: RNAcentral
GACGAACGCUGGCGGCGUGCUUAACACAUGCAAGUCGAACGGAAAGGCCCUGCUUUUGUGGGGUGCUCGAGUGGCGAACGCGUGAGUAACACGUAAGUAACCUGCCCUUGACUUUAGGAUCACUUCAGGAAACUGAGGCUAAUACCGGAUAGGAGCUCCUGCUGCAUGGUGGGGGUUGGAAAGUUUAGGCGGAUGGGGAUGGACUGGCGGCUUAUCAGCUUGUUGGUUGGGUAGUGGCUUACCAAGGCUUUGACGGGUAGCCGGGCUGAGAGGGUGACCGGCCACAUUGGGACUGAGAUACGGCCCAGACUCCUACGGGAGGGAGCAGUGGGGAAUAUUGCACAAUGGGCGGAAGCCUGAUGCAGCAACGCCGCGUGGGGGAUGACGGCCUUCGGGUUGUAAACCGCUUUCGCCUGUGACGAAGCGAGAGUGACGGUAAUGGGUAAAGAAGCACCGGCUAACUACGUG